RNAcentral lists this unclassified non-coding RNA (222 nucleotides) under Hevea brasiliensis (rubber tree). The record is from RNAcentral. Lineage: Eukaryota; Viridiplantae; Streptophyta; Magnoliopsida; Malpighiales; Euphorbiaceae.
AAUUAAAUUCCUAAAUUGUAUUAGAGAUAUCAUUUUCCUAUUCUGCAUUAGAGUUGCAAGGAGAAUGCCACAAAAUUUGAGUUGAGUACACCAUGAGUAGUUUUGUUUUUUAAGAGAUUUGAGUAAAUGAUUUGUGAGUGUUUGAGGGUUAGAAAAAUAAUUAGUGGUUGUAAUUAUUUUUCCUUGAUAGUGGAUUUAUUUGGUGGAGUAGGCUUACGCCGA